UAGCCACCUCCUAUCCCUAUAAAUAUACUCUCAUUCUCACCAAAAAGCUAAUUCCAACACUUUGGCAAAAAUCCCAAAAUUCUCUAAACACUCUUUCUCUCUAAAUUCUAACUUUGGCAUCGGAGGUUCUUCGGCCAAAGCCCCCCCCCCCCAUUCAUCGUGGGCGCGUGAGGCUCUUGGCCUUAACCUAAGGUGUUAAUUGUUUUGUAGGUGCAAAAUCGUCCAAGAUCGAGGAGGAAGAAAUUUGC
This 248-nucleotide long non-coding RNA is filed under the name Malus domestica (apple). RNAcentral describes it as "long non-coding RNA (MDOM_LNC003874)". Lineage: Eukaryota; Viridiplantae; Streptophyta; Magnoliopsida; Rosales; Rosaceae. The record is from RNAcentral.